GUCUACGGUCAGGCCACCCUGAACAAGACCAAGCACAUCUGAUCUCAGAAGCUAAGCAAGGUUGGGCCUAGUUAUUACUUCGAUGGGAGACCACCUAAGAAGACCAGGUACUGCAGGUG
This 119-nucleotide ribosomal RNA is filed under the name Pteropus alecto (black flying fox). Lineage: Eukaryota; Metazoa; Chordata; Mammalia; Chiroptera; Pteropodidae. The record is from RNAcentral.